Molecule: ribosomal RNA, 374 nt
Filed under: uncultured Pseudomonadota bacterium
Lineage: Bacteria; Pseudomonadati; Pseudomonadota
Description: bacterial SSU rRNA
Rfam family: Bacterial small subunit ribosomal RNA
Source: RNAcentral
AGGAAUCUACCCAGUAGCGGGGGAUAGCCCAGGGAAACUUGGAUUAAUACCGCAUACGCCCUAAGGGGAAAAGAAGGCCUCUCUUUGAAGCUUUCACUAUUGGAUGAGCCUGCGUAAGAUUAGCUUGUUGGUGGGGUAAAGGCCUACCAAGGCAACGAUCUUUAGCUGGUCUGAGAGGACGAUCAGCCACAUUGGGACUGAGACACGGCCCAGACUUCUACGGAAGGCAGCAGUUAGGAAUAUUGGACAAUGGGGGCAACCCUGAUCCAGCUAUACCGCGUGUGUGAAGAAGGCCCUAGGGUUGUAAAGCACUUUAAGCAGGGAAGAAGCAUAUUAAGUUAAUACCUUAAUAUGUUGACGUUACCUGAAGAAUA